RNAcentral lists this ribosomal RNA (384 nucleotides) under Obstengenia inflecta. Its description in RNAcentral is "partial 16S ribosomal RNA". The record is from RNAcentral. Lineage: Eukaryota; Metazoa; Mollusca; Gastropoda; Stylommatophora; Camaenidae.
CAAAAACAUAGUCCCUUUGGAUAAUAGGGAUGCUUUCUGCUCAGUGAGAAAUUAAAUAGCCGCAGUACCCUGACUGUGCUAAGGUAGCAUAAUCAGUUGUCUUCUAAUUAAAGUCUUGUAUGAAUGAAUAUAUGAGGGUAAGCUAUAUUAUAAUAAUAUUAAAAGUUACUUAGUGAGUGAAAAUGCUCAUAAAUAAAUAAUAGACGAGAAGACCCUAGAAAUUUUAAUAUUUUUUUUUGUUGGGGCAACAUAGUAACAUUCAACUUACUUUAUAUACAUGAAAUUAUAUUGGUUUGAUUAAAUUACUCUAGGGAUAACAGCAUAAUUUAAAAAUGAUUGUGACCUCGAUGUUGGAUUAGGAAAUCAAAGUCUAAACGAUUAUUG